AGGCUCUGGCAGCACAUUUACUAAAGUGGAACAAUAUAGAGUAGACUGGCAUGGCCUAGCCUAAAGAUGCCACCAACCUUCAUGAAGUAUUUUAUAUAUGU
RNAcentral lists this small nuclear RNA (101 nucleotides) under Tursiops truncatus (common bottlenose dolphin). Lineage: Eukaryota; Metazoa; Chordata; Mammalia; Artiodactyla; Delphinidae. The record is from RNAcentral.